AAACUCAAAGGAAUUGACGGGGGCCCGCACAAGCGGUGGAGUAUGUGGUUUAAUUCGACGCAACGCGAAGAACCUUACCAAGGCUUGACAUCCCGUGACAGCCAUAGAAAUAUGGUUUUAUGGAUUUAACAUCUAUACACAGAGACAGGUGGUGCAUGGCUGUCGUCAGCUCGUGUCGUGAGAUGUUGGGUUAAGUCCCGCAACGAGCGCAACCCUUAUCCUGUGUUACCAGCGUGAAAGACGGGGACUCACAGGAGACUGCCGCCGACAAGGCGGAGGAAGGCGGGGAUGACGUCAAGUCAUCAUGCCCCUUAUGUCCUGGGCUACACACGUACUACAAUGGGUGCGAACAGAGGGCAGCAAUCCCGCGAGGGGGAGCCAAUCCCACAAAAGCACUCUCAGUUCGGAUCGCAGGCUGCAACCCGCCUGCGUGAAGUCGGAAUCGCUAGUAAUCGCAGAUCAGCAGGCUGCGGUGAAUACGUUCCCGGGCCUUGUACACACCGCCCGUCACACCACGAAAGUCUGCAACACCCGAAGCCGGUGGGGUAACCGCAAGGAGCCAGCCGUCGAAGGUGGGGCCGAUGAUUGGGGUGAAGUCGUAACAAGGUAGCCGUAUCGGAAGGUGCGGCUGGAUCACCUCCU
Molecule: ribosomal RNA, 642 nt
Filed under: uncultured low G+C Gram-positive bacterium
Lineage: Bacteria; Bacillati; Bacillota
Description: bacterial SSU rRNA
Rfam family: Bacterial small subunit ribosomal RNA
Source: RNAcentral